CAGGUGCUAUAAUCUCUCAUCCGGUUUCCUUAGCUCUUGUGAAAAUAGUGUUAUGCAUAGAUAGUUGUUUAAAUUGAUGUUUCUAUGAGGGCACAAGUGUUAGAAAGUCAUAUUCUGUCACCUUGUUCACAUCUAGAUGGAGAAGGGAUCUAAAUAUUUCUGUAUACAAUCUUUUCUGCAUAGAACACUUUUUGCCUAGAAAAAAAAAAUCAUCUGUCUAGUCUAAUUGGUUAUCAGGAGGUUUUUUUUUUUUUGGCUCAUAAAUUGAUACCCUUUAUUCAACUGUAUCCAUUUAGCAGAUCCAAGCUAUGACACUGAGAAAGGAAUCUGUAAAGAGGUCACAGAGCAAACUCUUAGAGUCCAACUAAAGUCUCGUCUGUGAAAUUUCCACUCUGACAAUGUCAUCAUGCUGUGUACAGCUCUACAUCCUCUCCACCAGAUCAUCUUUUCCCAAAUGCUAAUAGAAUUACCAGGGGAAGAAGUGAGCGUGGAGACAUCUGGAGAAACUCCGAAACCUGAAGGUCCACCAGACUGGCAGAGCCUACUUGAGCCUGCAGGAUUCGGGAAAGAACUGAAGACAUGCACAUUCCUCUCCUCAAGUGAUCCACCUGCCUCAGCCUCCCAAAGUGCUGGGAUUAUAGGCAUGAGCCACCACGCCAGGCUCACAGUCAACUUGAGUUUGGCCAUGAGCCAGAUGAGGCAUGGGUGUGAACUGAGGUGGAACCAGGUCAGGAAUGGGGAACACCCAAGGGACUGCAUCAGUUAGGACUUUGGCAGGAAAUAAGUGGCAUGCUCAUAACAGGAAAAUUCAAAGAAAUUUUAAUAAAAAUCCUGUUUGCCAAGGUGUCCACAGGGUGUAGAGAACCCACAAGGGGUUAGUGCAAUCUCUGGGGCUGGUACAGCAGGUGUUACCACCUGAGGCCUGAAGUGGAGUAAGGGAAGGAGUGGUUACCAGAACCCAACAACAGGGAGGGCUGCCUGGGAAGGGCCACAUGACAGGAACUUGACAUUAUGGGGGCAGGACUCAGCCAGCAGGCCGUGACACGCAGAGGCAGCUAUGUGUUAGUAAAUGAUAUAUAGUAGGUGCUCAAUAAGUGCCUGUAUUAAUGUUCCUAUUAUCAUUAUUACUGCUUUUUUUUUUUUUUUUUUUUGAGACAGAGUCUAGUUCUGUUGCCCAGGCUGGGGUGCAGUGGCGCGAUCUCGGCUCACUGCAAGCUCCGCCUCCCGGGUUCACGCCAUUCUCCUGCCUCAGCCUCCCGAGUAGCUGGGACUACAGGCGCCCGCCACCGCGCCCGGCUAGUUUUUUGUAUUUUUAGUAGAGACGGGGUUUCACGGUAGUCUCGAUCUCCUGACCUUGUGAUCCGCCCGCCUCGGCCUCCCAAAGUGCUGGGAUUACGGGCGUGAGCCACCGCGCCUGGCUAUUACUGCUUUUUGAUACAUAUUAUAUAUUCCAUGACAGCUGAUAUUUUCCCAUUGAAGAAGCUGAAGUGUCAAGGGAAUAAGGGAAAAGUAAAGGAGGGAGGCUUCUUCAUUACAUUCUCUCCAGCAGCAAGAGAAGAGAGUCUCUGGAGGUGCUAAGAAACAGAUGCUACUGUGGCAGCCAAGAAACCCAGAAUGCCAGCGACAGCAGAGGGAUAUCUGCAGGAGAGAUGGUAAGGCCAAACUUCUGAAUUGUUUCAUGUUGUUUAAAACAUCCGCCCCUAGGAAAGGCUUGGGAGGCUCACAAAUUCCUGUUAUAGUUAAAAAAGGAAAUAGACCAGAAAGGUGAAAUUGAGUUUAUGUAAAACAAUGUAUGUAUUACACAGAGAAAUGAAAACUCUUCAGCAGUUCAUUGGCGAUCUUAGCACACGUCUCAGAAAGCAGAGAAAACUGGUUACCUCCAACAAUUGCAAAAAGUCAUGGUCUGCAUAAACUUUGUCCUGUAUAAUCGGCCACAACAUAACAGCACUUGCAGAAAUUGAUGCUGUUCAAGGGUCCCCUAUAUUUGGGAAGCCAGAAAUUUCUCCUCUCUAUUCCCCAUAAGUAUAAUCCUUUAUAAUAAAAAUUUGUAUUUUGACAACCUGACAUAGCUAUGUUUAAAAUCAAAAAUUAGUAAUGGCAAGUUAAUAGAAUUCUGUGGAUCCACAAGUCACUAAGUUCGGCAUCAAACAAGAGCACAAAAGCAGAGAAUGCAGAAUACAGUUUCUGCCAGGGGAGUAGGAAUGAGUUCAGGGCAAACAAGGGACUAACACUACGAACAGGUAAGAUAGAAUCCCUUGGCUUAACAUUUCAGUCUUGGAUUAUCUUGCCUGUUUUUAUUCAAGAAACUUAAAUAGAUAUUGAUAGGUUGUGGAAUCCUUUUUUUCUGUCAGUUAGUUUUAGAUUAAAAAAAAAAGUUUUAUUGAAAUAUAACUCACAC
Long non-coding RNA from Macaca mulatta (Rhesus monkey), 2398 nucleotides. The record is from Ensembl. Lineage: Eukaryota; Metazoa; Chordata; Mammalia; Primates; Cercopithecidae.